RNAcentral lists this long non-coding RNA (298 nucleotides) under Mytilus galloprovincialis (Mediterranean mussel). The record is from RNAcentral. Lineage: Eukaryota; Metazoa; Mollusca; Bivalvia; Mytilida; Mytilidae.
CUGCCAUUUGCAAAAACAAGAAUUUUUGUUUUAUCAACAUUUACCUUAAGUUGCCAUUUGUUACAAUAUAUGGCAAAAUUGUUUAACAUAUUUUGUAAUUCAGUGCUACUAUCCGCCAAUAAAACAGUGUCAUCAGCAUAUAACAGUAAGAAAAUCUUAAGAUACACAUCUAGUUCAUUUUCUAGGUCUGCACUUAUUGACUGUAAACCUUUUGUAUCUAACUCUUCUAAAAAUGCUUGUAAAUCGUUCAGAUAUACAGAAAACAGAGCAGGCGAUAGAUUUUCACCUUGCCGUACAC